This 73-nucleotide transfer RNA is filed under the name Symploca sp. SIO2G7. Its description in RNAcentral is "tRNA-Arg". It matches the Rfam family "tRNA". From Rfam's summary of the family: Transfer RNA (tRNA) molecules are approximately 80 nucleotides in length. Their secondary structure includes four short double-helical elements and three loops (D, anti-codon, and T loops). Lineage: Bacteria; Bacillati; Cyanobacteriota; Cyanophyceae; Coleofasciculales; Coleofasciculaceae. The record is from RNAcentral.
GGGCGCGUAGCUCAGUGGAUAGAGCAUCAGAUUCCGGUUCUGAGGGUCGGGGGUUCAAAUCCCUUCGCGCUCG